CCUCUGGGGAGUUCCCAUUGUGAGGAGCUGAGGCUUCCUGACAACAACCAACACCAACUCGCCAGGAGAGGAGAAGAGCAGAAGACAAGGGAAGCAGAUCAGGUUUGUAGGUAUUAUCUCCAAUGUACCUGUGAAGAAACUAAGGCCUGGAAGAGUUCAGCGAUUUGCCUACAGUAACACAGCAACUUUAGAGACCAUCUGCAUUCCUUGAGUUGUGGCUUCUUCCUCCAUCUUCAAAACCAGCAACAACAGAUAAGUCCUUCUUAGAUUGCUU
Homo sapiens (human) is the source of this 274-nucleotide long non-coding RNA. RefSeq lists it as uncharacterized. The transcript has 3 exons. Lineage: Eukaryota; Metazoa; Chordata; Mammalia; Primates; Hominidae. The record is from RefSeq and is a predicted model, not a curated record.